AACGAACGCUGGCGGCAUGCCUAACACAUGCAAGUCGAACGAGAUCUUCGGGUCUAGUGGCGCACGGGUGCGUAACGCGUGGGAAUCUGCCCUUUGGUUCGGAAUAACUGUUGGAAACGACUGCUAAUACCGGAUGAUGACGAAAGUCCAAAGAUUUAUCGCCAGAGGAUGAGCCCGCGUAGGAUUAGCUAGUUGGUGUGGUAAAGGCGCACCAAGGCGACGAUCCUUAGCUGGUCUGAGAGGAUGAUCAGCCGCACUGGGACCGAGACACGGCCCAGACUCCUACGGGAGGCAGCAGUGGGGAAUAUUGGACAAUGGGCGAAAGCCUGAUCCAGCAAUGCCGCGUGAGUGAUGAAGGCCUUAGGGUUGUAAAGCUCUUUUACCCGGGAUGAUAAUGACAGUACCGGGAGAAUAAGCUCCGGCUAACUCCGUGCCAGCCGCCGCAGUAA
Molecule: ribosomal RNA, 449 nt
Filed under: uncultured bacterium
Lineage: Bacteria
Description: partial 16S ribosomal RNA
Rfam family: Bacterial small subunit ribosomal RNA
Source: RNAcentral